Molecule: ribosomal RNA, 468 nt
Filed under: uncultured bacterium
Lineage: Bacteria
Description: partial 16S ribosomal RNA
Rfam family: Bacterial small subunit ribosomal RNA
Source: RNAcentral
GACGAACGCUGGCGGCGUGCUUAACACAUGCAAGUCGAACGGAAAGGCCCUGCUUUUGUGGGGUGCUCGAGUGGCGAACGGGUGAGUAACACGUGAGUAACCUGCCCUUGACUUUGGGAUAACUUCAGGAAACUGGGGCUAAUACCGGAUAGGAGCUCCUGCUGCAUGGUGGGGGUUGGAAAGUUUCGGCGGUUGGGGAUGGACUCGCGGCUUAUCAGCUUGUUGGUGGGGUAGUGGCUUACCAAGGCUUUGACGGGUAGCCGGCCUGGGAGGGUGACCGGGCACAGUGGGGCUGGGGUACGGCCCAGACUCCUACGGGAGGCAGCAGUGGGGAAUAUUGCACAAUGGGCGGAAGCCUGAUGCAGCAACGCCGCGUGCGGGAUGACGGCCUUCGGGUUGUAAACCGCUUUCGCCUGUGACGAAGCGUGAGUGACGGUAAUGGGUAAAGAAGCACCGGCUAACUACGUG